RNAcentral lists this long non-coding RNA (1267 nucleotides) under Calidris pygmaea (Spoon-billed sandpiper). RNAcentral describes it as "lncRNA (ENSCPGG00000012912.1)". The record is from RNAcentral. Lineage: Eukaryota; Metazoa; Chordata; Aves; Charadriiformes; Scolopacidae.
UGCUGCAGCAUGUCAUUUGGAUGUUGAAGGAAAAUCCCCUGAUUCAGUCUGCCAUUUCUGACAGUCUCCCUCUAGACCACAUUAAUAAGCUUUUUAGAGCAGUGAAUGCAGAAUAAUCAGCAGGCAGCCUGCCCUCAAAAUGGAGACAGAACAGACAGCAGAAAUGCCUUCUUCCCUUUGUAGCUCUGGUGCAUAGGUGACCCUUCUCUCACAGAGCUGCAAAUGAUUUUCACUAAGAUUGCCUUUGAAAAGCCAUAACGUAAUUAACCAUUUUAUGCAUGUGAUGUCUGCCCAGCUUCACAACUCGAGGCUUUUGCAAUGGAAAAAGAUGCAGCUGCAUUUGAGGUAGAUUUAUGAAACGUGCUAACAAUAGAGCAGACGGAUAGAAAGGCUGCCUGGCAUCCUGGAAUACCUGGGGAAUUCCACUCAGAAAACAAACAUGUUACUCUUUAAUGUAGACUCACAUCUCAUUAUAAAAUCACAAGUGGAAUGAGACACACUUCGCCUUUGUAACUGUGUUGCCAGGAGGCAGGUAAGUGUUGUGCUACAGACAGUCCUGCUAAGGUCUGCAUGAUUUUAAUAUAUUUUGAAAGCAAAUAAUUUGUUAGAUAAUGGGGGUCUUGCUGUGGAUAUUUCCUGCUUUUCUCUAUUAAUAAUUUCUGUGUUGCCAGCUGUAAAUUGAAAUUGUCAAUAGCUUAGUUUAACCUAUUGUGCACUGGCUGUUUCAAGGUGCAGCUGAAAAACAAACUAUUUCAGGGUAUCCUUAUUUUGGUUUGGGAAGGAUUUGCUGGUGAGGCAUUACUAAACACUGGAAAUAAGAAAGCAGACACCUCGGAGCCCUGAAAACUCUUUUAAUUUCAUUUGGAGACGAAGGAAGUUAGCACCAUUGAAAAUCAAGCUCAAGAUAUGCACAUACAGACAAGAAAAGUGAAAGGAGGUUGAAAGGAGAAGGAAAGAAAUGUAAUCCUGUGUGAUGUGGUAAGAUGUAGAGAGGCUGAGAGAAUAAAACAUGGCAGCAAAGAUGGAGACCAGUAGAUGCCACCGUUUUAGAACAUCUUGAUUCUCAACAGCAGCAUCUUCAAGAGAAAAGACUUCAUCAAAUAAAUGGACAGACUAACACAGCUGCCAUAAUGUCAGCCAUUGGAAUUUCAUUAGCAAAUGCUGGCUGUAGAAAUGAAAUAUGUCAAGUGGAACCCAAACAUCUUUAAGGCUGUGCAUCUUCUAUAUCAGUAAUAAAACAAAAUAAAGAAGGUAUAACUCUAUCCUC